This is a long non-coding RNA of Mesocricetus auratus (golden hamster), 3690 nucleotides long. RefSeq lists it as uncharacterized. The transcript is spliced from 3 exons. NCBI's taxonomy places the organism in Eukaryota, Metazoa, Chordata, Mammalia, Rodentia, Cricetidae. The record is from RefSeq and is a predicted model, not a curated record.
CAGCCUGCUUGUAUUUUGACAACGCUGUUUAUCUGUUGGAUGGUGCAGGAAGGAGCCAGCUGUUUCCCAUAAAGCUAUCUUGGGAAAUCACACCAGAGCUGUCUAGAGAGAACAUGCUAUCUGGUUCCACUACCAGGGGGUAGUUCCUGCUGAAAUUCCGGAGGAGGGUUUUCUAGAGAACAGGCCAAGACAUCAAGAAUGGUUGCUGCUGGCAGAUGUCAAAGUCAAUGCAGAUUGAGUCGGUGAAGAAGGGGAAACUCCUCUCUUUGGGGAGAAGGGGGGCGGCGGCUGCUUCCGGCCGUCGGUCACUAGUGUCCUGAGGAGUGUGACACGUUCGGUGACAGAGGGUCCUCGGAAUCUGAGGAUGACGGCCGUGAGGAGGGAAAGGAGACCUCGGCGAGUGCCGCCGGCAGCUGGUAUUUCACGUUGACUAAUUCCCCAUGAGAAGCAGUAAGAAAUUGUCCCCGAGAGAAACAAAUCCCUUUGAUGAUUAACAUUGGUUGGCAGCUUGAUAAAAUCUAGACUCGCCUCAUGUCUGUGAGGGUCUUUCUAUAAUGGGUUAAUAGAUAUGGAAGUCUCUCACUAAAAAUGACGGUCCAAUCCCAGAGCCUGGCAGCAGAGCCUCCUGACUACGGAUGCAGUGUUAUCAGUGCCGACCCUUCAACUGUGAGCCAUGGUGGACCCUCCCUUAGGCUGCGUUUCCCGGAUAUUCUGUAACAGCGAUGAGGAAAGUGACUACUGCCUGUCUCAGGAGAUGGAGUACUGGACACAGGCAAAGAGGCUGGAUGCCCCUGGAGGCUGGCCCGGGGGGAGAGAGGGGGCCUCCGGGAGUGAGCAUGAGCAGUGUAUCUCAGCCAAGCUUCCUUCUACAGGAGGAAGAAGAUUUUUGAGAGACCGGUGAGGGGAAAACAGUUAGACUGAGCUGUAUAUACUGAAGACACUGCAGCCUUUCCGAGUUGAUGUAGCAGGCUCACAGGCCUUAGCCCAACUGACUCCAUGAUGGAAGUGCCACUCAGGCUGUGAAACUCAGUAUGGAGACAGCACCACCAACCCAAAUGGAAAACAAAGACCUAGUCCAUCAAAGUCCUUAGUUCUUGGAAAGUCUCUAAAUGAACUGACCUUGCCAUUUGGCUUCUGGAGCUCUGCUUCUGGCUAACUGCUCUUGUUAACUGAAGUGUGUCAACCCAAGACAUCUUUUUUGUGCUUCAAAGCUCACCCUGAGAAAGGCUCAGUGAUACUCUGGGAUCCUGAACAUCCAGUGUAGAUGCCAGACAUCUAAUAAAGACUUUCUAUUGGCUUAAACCCAUGUCCAAGCAAUAUUCUCUGAAUACCCCACAACAGUUAAUACAUAGAAUAAAUUUUCACAGGCUCAUUCCUCAAUAAAUAGGAUAUUGGCAAAAGACAGCAGUCACAGAAAAGGACAUAAAACUAUUUUUCCCUACUUUCUACUACAUCGUAGCUGUUUUUCCUUGUGGUGGAUUUGAUUUUCUGAGUGUUAAAGUAGCAAGAACCAUUUUCACCUCCAAAGGAAUUCAACAUCUGUUCUUCCUUUGAGGUAUAAUUGUGAAAGUUAGGGGUUUUUUUUGUUUGUCUUAAAGAAAAAUUCCAUUGACCAUGAAUUCACUGGGAAUUAGAUGUGACAAGUCACUGAAUAUAUUUGUCACACUGACUCACUAAGAAAAGAAGUGAUCUAUUUUGGAAAGCUUGUUUUGGGCAGAGAGGCUUUGUAACCUAAAACUGUUCUCAUCCCCUUCUGUGUAAGACUCUAUCAGGCCUGGCAUGUUGGCACACACCCCUUUGAUCCCAGCACUUGGGAGGCAGAGGCAAGUGGAUCUCUAAGUUCAAAGCCAGCCUGGUCAUAAACAACAACAAUACCAACAACAAAGUCCAAUAAUCUACAGUCUCAUCAUCUUACAGGGUUAGUUAACAGUUAAACUGUACUGCUACAAUAAAAUAAAGUGCAUUCUUUUUAAAACUCACUGGAAAACAGAAGCAAAGCUGUCACAGUUGAUACAAAGGUGGAGAGGCCACAACGCCACCCAAGACUUCCUUUUUUAUUCCUGCCCGUGUUCCUCAAGGCACACAAUGGCAAACUUGUCCACAGUGGUUUGCCCAAGUCCCCUACUCACCAUGAUAGAGCGUGUGUUGCUGUAGAAGUCCUCCACUGGGAAAUCAAAGGAUGUUACAGAACUCUUCUCUCUUUAGUGUCUGCUGCCAGACAAGGCCACGGUCCGUCCAAGAAGAACAGUGGGGUUGACCACAAUGGUUGAGAAAUUGUUACAAGAUUUGCUUGGAUCCGAGGGAGUACACGCACUAAGUUACCGGAGAUUGGGGUGAAAUUUGUGGGGAGAGUGUUGCAGGGUCCCUUCCCAUCCUCUCAAUUCGGGGAACAGGGCUCCCAGGGGGCCACUUGGGGAGAUGGAUGUUCAUGUCUUUUAGUUGGCAGACACAGUCGACCGAGGGAGGACAAGGGAAGUUGAGGAGCUGCUUUUCUGUGGAGAGGGGCUGGGCUUCUGGGAAGAGGGAAAAAAUGUGUAUAUGUGUGAAUGGGACUAUAUGUAUGUAAGUGCGUGCGUGCGUGCGUGCGUGCGUGUGUGUGUGUGUGUGUGUGUGUGUGUGUGUGUAGUGAGCAUGCCCACACGAUAGCACAUGUGUGGAGGUCGGAUUCCAGGGGUCAAACUGAGGUCCUCAGACAGUGGCUAACACCUGCUGAGCCCUAAAAAUCUGUGUUUUUUAACAAAGUAAGGAAAGGGGAAGAAAACGGCCAACAAUUCAGAUCAUCACCACGGCCUGGCAGGCAUGCCCAAACUUUUGACUCUGUGACACAAUAUUGCCAUCUACAAAGUUCGCCCCCUGAGAAUCUCGCCAUCAAGUACGAAAGCUAAAAACAAACCAGCAAAACCUCUCACAGUGUUUUAAUAGUUUACGGUUUUAGGUUGAGCUGCACUUGUAGCUGCCUCUGGCCACGUGCUUCAGCUGCAGAGUGGACAUGCCUGGAACCUUUCCCGGCCUGCAAGAGGCUGAAUGGCUCACUCUGUCUCGAUCCAGGAUCCAGUCGCUGGGAGUCCCAUUGCUGCUGUUCUCGGAAACAAGCUGCUCCAACUCACAGCAGCAAGGCAGAAAAGCCUGUUCCCCAGAUAGCUGGCUCCCAAAGGAAGGACAGUGGGACGGCCUUCCCGGUGCUCCUCCUGACCUCAGAUCCAGUAGCUCUGUGUCACCCGACAGAAAAUGGAUGGACCUUCAGCAGGGCAGAAAGUGUCUUCCUGUUCAGGACCCUAGAGGUGGAGCCUGGCCCCUUAGACCAGAAAGGAUGGUCGGGAUCCUCACCUUUGGGGCGGUGGAAGGACACAGUGGUUGUGGUGCGGAUUCAGAAUGUCUUCAGUAGAAAAGGAAAAGGGAGGUCUUGAUACGACAUCACCCAGAGCCUGAGGCUGUCUGCUCCGUGGGCCUCCCGUCCUCACAGUGAAGUGUCCUGGGGCGCCUCACAGCUACGGCUCCAGCUUGGGUUCCAUCCUCUUGGCGCACAGACACCUGUGAGGUACUUGCCUGUACUCCCACUGGUUUCACCAUGAGGAUGAGCUCCCACAGGACAGCACCAGCUAGAUGCUACCCCCCCUGCCCCCCACAUUCUGGAAGAAGUGGUUGCAUGGAAUGUACCAAGUGCAACGGAGUAAACAGACGGCAACAAAC